GGUAGAAUGGCUGAGUGAUAGGCGAUAGAUUGUAAAUCUAUAUACGAAAGUUUUUUUUUUUGCCA
RNAcentral lists this transfer RNA (65 nucleotides) under Cryptoperla sp. WY-2013. RNAcentral describes it as "tRNA-Tyr". It matches the Rfam family "tRNA". From Rfam's summary of the family: Transfer RNA (tRNA) molecules are approximately 80 nucleotides in length. Their secondary structure includes four short double-helical elements and three loops (D, anti-codon, and T loops). Lineage: Eukaryota; Metazoa; Arthropoda; Insecta; Plecoptera; Peltoperlidae. The record is from RNAcentral.